Zopfochytrium polystomum is the source of this 95-nucleotide non-coding RNA. Lineage: Eukaryota; Fungi; Chytridiomycota; Chytridiomycetes; Chytridiales; Chytridiaceae. The record is from the annotation of a GenBank genome assembly.
GCCUUCUUAGCUCAGCUGGCAGAGCGUAUCCCUCGUAACCCUGUGCAAGGGUGCCUGCGAGGAUAAGGUCGUCGGUUCGAUUCCGGCAGAAGGCA